GAUGAACGCUGGCGGCGUGCCUAAUGCAUGCAAGUCGAGCGAACGGACGAGAAGCUUGCUUCUCUGAUGUUAGUGGCGGACGGGUGAGUAACACGUGGAUAACCUACCUAUAAGACUGGGAUAACUUCGGGAAACCGGAGCUAAUACCGGAUAUAUUUUGAACCGCAUGGUUCAAAAGUGAAAGACGGUCUUGCUGUCACUUAUAGAUGGAUCCGCGCUGCAUUAGCUAGUUGGUAAGGUAACGGCUUACCAAGGCAACGAUGCAUAGCCGACCUGAGAGGGUGAUCGGCCACACUGGAACUGAGACACGGUCCAGACUCCUACGGGAGGCAGCAGUAGGGAAUCUUCCGCAAUGGGCGAAAGCCUGACGGAGCAACGCCGCGUGAGUGAUGAAGGUCUUCGGAUCGUAAAACUCUGUUAUUAGGGAAGAACAUAUGUGUAAGUAACUGUGCACAUCUUGACGGUACCUAAUCAGAAAGCCACGGCUAACUACGUG
This 496-nucleotide ribosomal RNA is filed under the name uncultured bacterium. RNAcentral describes it as "partial 16S ribosomal RNA". It matches the Rfam family "Bacterial small subunit ribosomal RNA", at positions 28 to 507 of the family's 1533-position model. The record is from RNAcentral.